AGUUCAGUCAUGGCUCAGAUUGAACGCUGGCGGGAUGCUUUACACAUGCAAGUCGGGCAGCAGCACGGACUUCAGUCACCAGUGGCGAGUGGCGAACAGGUGGUAAUAUCGGAACGUGCCUGGUAGCCAGGGAUAACUGCGAAGCGUAGCUAAUACUACGCAUGCGCCCUUCGGGGAAAGCGGGGGGACCUUCGGGCCUCGCACACAAUGGAAACGGCCGAUAUCGGAUUAGCUGGUUGGUGGGGUAACGGCUCCUGGGCGACGAUCCGUAGCUGGUUUUGAGAGGACGACCAGCCACACUGGGACUGAGACACGGCCCAGACUCUACCUGGAGGCAGCAGUGAAAUUUUGGACAAUGAAACCUGAUCCCAGCCAUCCGCGUGCGAUGAAGGCCUUCGGGUUGUGAAAGCACUUUUGGCAGGAAAGAAACGGCACGGGAUAAUACCCCGUGCAACUGACGGUACCUGCAGAAUAAGCACCGGCUAACUACAUUGCCAGCAAGCCGCGGUAAUACGUAGGGUGCAAGCGUUAAUCGAUUACUGGGCGUAAAGCGUGCGCAGGCGGUUCGGAAAGAAGAUGUGAAAUCCAGAGCUUAACUUUGGAACUGCAUUUUAACUACCGAGCUAGAGUGUGUCAGAGGGAGGUGGAAUUCCGCGAUGUAGCAGUGAAAUGCGUAGAUAAGGAAGAACACCGAUAGCGAAGGCAGCCUCCUGGGAUAACACUGACGCUCAUGCACAGCGUGGGGAGCGAAACAGGAUUAGAUACCCUGGUAGUCCGCCUAAACGAUGUCAGCUAGCUGUUGGGGCCUUCGGGCCUUGGUAGCGCAACUAACGGCAGUUGACCGCCUGCAAGAUACGGUCGCAAGAUUAAAACUCAAGGAAUUGACGGGGACCCGCACAAGCGGUGGAUGAUAUGGAUUAAUUCGAUGCAACGCGAAAAACCUUACCUACCCUUGACAUGUCUGGAAUCCCGAAGAGAUUUGGGAGUGCUCGCAAGAGAACCGGAACACAGGUGCUGCAUGGCUGUCGUCAGCUCGUGUCGUGAGAUGUUGGGAGUUAAAGUCCACAACGAGCGCAACCCUUGCCAUUAGUUGCUACAAAAGGGCACUCUAAUGGGGCUGCCGGUGACAAACCGGAGGAAGGUGGGGAGUGGCGUCAAGUCCUCGUAGCCCUUAUGGGUAGGGCUUCACACGUCAUACAAUGGUCAGGGACAGAGGGUCGCCAACCCGCGAGAGGCCAAUCAGAAACCCGAUCGUAGUCCGGAUCGCAGUCUGCAACUCCGACUGCAUUGGAAGUCAGAAUCGCUAGUAAUCGCAUGGUCAGCAUGUCGCGGUGAAUACGUUCCCGGGUGCUUGUACACCGCCCGUCACACCAUGGGGAGUGGGUUUUGCAGAAGUAGUUAGCCUAUUAACCGUAAAGGAGGGCGAUUACCACGGUAAGUUCGCUGACUGGGGGUGAAGUCAUAUUUCAAGGUAG
This 1475-nucleotide ribosomal RNA is filed under the name uncultured Bordetella sp. RNAcentral describes it as "partial 16S-23S ribosomal RNA intergenic spacer". It matches the Rfam family "Bacterial small subunit ribosomal RNA". The record is from RNAcentral. Lineage: Bacteria; Pseudomonadati; Pseudomonadota; Betaproteobacteria; Burkholderiales; Alcaligenaceae.